GAUGAAGAACGCAGCGAAAUGCGAUACGUAAUGUGAAUUGCAGAUUUCAGUGAAUCAUCGAAUCUUUGAACGCACAUUGCGCCCGCCAGUAUUCUGGCGGGCAUGCCUGUUCGAGCGUCAUUUCAACCAUCAAGCCUUCGCUUGUGUUGGGGCCCCGCGGCUGCCGUGGUCCCCUAAAUCCAGUGGCGGGCUCGUCGUCGUACCGAGCGCAGUAGACAUCCUCGCUCCGGGAACCCGACGGGUGCCGGCCGUGAAACCCCCCACAUCAAGGUUGACCUCGGAUCAGGUAGGAAUACCCGCUGAACUUAAGCAUAUCAAUAAGCGGAGGA
This 329-nucleotide unclassified non-coding RNA is filed under the name soil metagenome. Its description in RNAcentral is "partial contains 5.8S ribosomal RNA, internal transcribed spacer 2, and large subunit ribosomal RNA". The stretch from base 1 to 120 matches the Rfam family "5.8S ribosomal RNA", at positions 35 to 154 of the family's 154-position model. The record is from RNAcentral.